RNAcentral lists this ribosomal RNA (119 nucleotides) under Helianthus annuus (common sunflower). The record is from RNAcentral. Lineage: Eukaryota; Viridiplantae; Streptophyta; Magnoliopsida; Asterales; Asteraceae.
GGUUGCGAUCAUUCCAGCACUAAUGCACCGGAUCCCAUCAGAACUCCGCAGUCAAGCGUGCUUGGGCGAGAGUAGUACUAGGAUGGGUGACCCCCUGGGAAGUCCUCGUGUUGCAACCC